AUGGCGAUGGAGAUGAGAGCCCGGGAAUCUGUAGGCAUGUCGGAGGACCUGACACGGGCAAUCGCACCUUAUGCCACAGCCCUGCACGACGCUUUCCUCCACUCCCAUUGCUCCUCGUGUUUCAGGAAGUUGCCAUCGCAACCUCCAUGUGCCAUGUCUUGUAUGCUCUGCUGCUCCGUUCAGUACUGCUGCUCAGACUGCUUAAGCUCGGACUGUGAAGUGCAUUCUUCUUCUGGUGAAUGUUGUUUCUUCGCCGAUCACCUCAAGAAAGCAUCUUCAUCCUACGUCACUGAGGGCACGAGCGAUGUCCGUGCUUCUCUUCGACUUCUUUAUUUUCUCGAGAUGCAUGGUCUUGUCUCGUCAGAUUCAAUCAACCGGUCCAGCAGAAUUGGUGGGCUUUCAACAAUUGGUAUUCGGGAAGUUCUGGAGGAAGGUGGGGAGGUUGCCGAGAGGAUACUGAAGGGAAGCAUGCUGAUGUCGUCUGCCAGAAAAAUGAGGACGCAAACAUCUGUUGUUUUCUCCAAUGGCCUGACAGUAGAGAUAGUGGCAUUAUGGGCAGUGAUGAUCAACAGCGUUGAGGUGCAGAUUAGUGACGAGUGGGAUCUGGGGAUUGCAGUUUAUGGACCUAGUUUCUCAUGGUUCAAUCAUAGUUGCUUUCCGAAUGCUUCUUAUAGUUUUGUGUUGGCUCCACCCAAUGAAGAUUAUGUUUCAGACAAAUCAGAAUACCGUGCAGUCCCUGCUAGCAAAGGGGUUGCUCCAGAUGCGUGGCAUGCUUGGCAAUUUGAAGAGGGUUCUACUCAUGCACUUGGCAAAUAUGGCCCAAGAGUUGUUGUCCGUUGCAUAAAGCCAAUCAACAAGGGGGAUGAAGUUUGCAUAACAUACAUUGAUCUUCUCCAGACCAGGGAAGCAAGGCAUUCAGAUCUUUGGUCAAAGUAUAAGUUUAUUUGUUCUUGUGAGCGCUGUACUGCAUCACCAGAAUCAUAUGUGGAUUUUAUUCUAAACUGUGACUUCAGGAACUUGAAUUCACCAGAGAAUGCUUUUAUAUCUCUAGCAAUUGAGGAUUUUGAUGAUAUCUUACAACAAGCAAUAUCGGAAUAUUCAUUGGGUGAUGAUCCCAAAGCCUGCUGUGCUAUGAUUGAAAGUUUGCUUUCUGAAAACUUGAUGGGUGAUCUGCAGCAAGUGGAACUUUCACAGAAAAGACAUAUACUACAUCCUCUUCAUCAUAUAUGUCUAAGAGCUUAUAUGACGCUUGCCUCUGCUUACCGCUUUCGUGCCCUAGAAUCCAGUACUGAUGGCUUUAAGGGAGAAAACAGUGCCGUUUCUUUCAAAAUGACCAAAGCUGCAGUAGCUUAUUCAUUUCUUCUUGCAGGAGCUACGCACCAUCUGUUCUUAUCUGAACGUUCCUUUAUGACCCCGCUGGCGCAUUUUUUGUUAAGCGCUGGACGGUCCAUGUUAGAUUUUGUUGAAUGUGUAAAGGGAGAGAGAAGGAAAAAUGUAUCCCAAGCUAAGUUUAGCUUUGCUUCAUGUUCAGCAAGUUCAGGAACACGUGAUUCCAUGCAGUACCAUCAAUUCAGAUCAACUUGUGAGGAAUUUGGCAAGCACAUGUUAUCGUUAUCAUUGCAGUGCUGGUCAUUUCUUGUGCAAAGCUCACCCUGCCUGGAAAAGAUAAAAAACCCUAUAGACUUCAGUUGGCUUGGGACAGCAAUAUUUCAGUCUCUCCAUCUUUCUGAGGUAGAUUCUGCCAACCUUUCUUGUACAGAUGGUCUAGAAAUUUUCACUGAAGAGCAGAAGGGGUGUAUUCUCAGCUUAGCUAUUUGCUGCAUCACCUUUUGCAAAUAUCUUGCAAAUAUAUGCUAUGGUCCACAACAUUAUUUGGCAAAUCAUGCUAAAGAUCUGCUUGAAGGGAUUCCUAAGCACACUGGAGAAAUGUGUAAGCACAUGAAUGACUGA
RNAcentral lists this ribosomal RNA (1950 nucleotides) under Triticum aestivum (bread wheat). Its description in RNAcentral is "partial small subunit ribosomal RNA". Lineage: Eukaryota; Viridiplantae; Streptophyta; Magnoliopsida; Poales; Poaceae. The record is from RNAcentral.